RNAcentral lists this ribosomal RNA (491 nucleotides) under uncultured bacterium. RNAcentral describes it as "partial 16S ribosomal RNA". It matches the Rfam family "Bacterial small subunit ribosomal RNA", at positions 29 to 507 of the family's 1533-position model. The record is from RNAcentral.
GUGAACGCUGGCGAUAGGCCUAACACAUGCCAGUCGAACGGCAGCACAGUAAGAGCUUGCUCUUACGGGUGGCGAGUGGCGGACGGGUGAGGAAUACAUCGGAAUCUACUUUUUCGUGGGGGACAACGUAGGGAAACUUACGCUAAUACCGCAUACGACCUACGGGUGAAAGCAGGGGAUCUUCGGACCUUGCGCGAUUGAAUGAGCCGAUGUCGGAUUAGCUAGUUGGCGGGGUAAAGGCCCACCAAGGCGACGAUCCGUAGCUGGUCUGAGAGGAUGAUCAGCCACACUGGAACUGAGACACGGUCCAGACUCCUACGGGAGGCAGCAGUGGGGAAUAUUGGACAAUGGGCGCAAGCCUGAUCCAGCCAUACCGCGUGGGUGAAGAAGGCCUUCGGGUUGUAAAGCCCUUUUGUUGGGAAAGAAAAGCAGCAGGUUAAUACCCCGCUGUUCUGACGGUACCCAAAGAAUAAGCACCGGCUAACUUCGUG